RNAcentral lists this ribosomal RNA (402 nucleotides) under Notocochlis dillwynii. Its description in RNAcentral is "bacterial SSU rRNA". It matches the Rfam family "Eukaryotic small subunit ribosomal RNA", at positions 16 to 391 of the family's 1831-position model. The record is from RNAcentral. Lineage: Eukaryota; Metazoa; Mollusca; Gastropoda; Littorinimorpha; Naticidae.
GCCAGUAGUGAUAUGCUUGUCUCAAAGAUUAAGCCAUGCAUGUCUAAGUUCACACUUUAAUACGGUGAAACCGCGAAUGGCUCAUUAAAUCAGUCGAGGUUCCUUAGAUGAUCCCCAUCUACUUGGAUAACUGUGGUAAUUCUAGAGCUAAUACAUGCCAACCAGCUUCGACCCGUUGGAGUUUUUCAAUGGGAAAGAGCGCUUUUAUUAGUUCAAAACCAGUCGGGUUUGGCUUUGUCAGGCCCGCUCCUUUGGUGACUCUGGAUAACUUUGUGCCGAUCGCAUGGCCUCGAGCCGGCGACGCAUCUUUCAAAUGUCUGCCCUAUCAAAUGACGAUGGUACGUGAUCUGCCUACCAUGUUGGCAACGGGUAGCGGGGAAUCAGGGUUCGAUUCCGGAGAGG